GGUCGUUCCGUCCAGUUCCAGUUCCGUCCCCUCACUUCUGAAUGUUCACGAGUCGUGGUCCAGACUGACGGAUCGAUUUUCCGCACGUCAACAGAUUUCGGCAAUUCUGUCAGACGACGGAGAAGGCCACGAAGCAAACUAAAACAUGUCGUUCGGCGACAAGAUAAGCGCUAUCAUGCAGAGGCCUGGACAGGAUCCUGCCAACAAGGACGACGCGCCUUGGUGGAUGAAAUACGGCGGUCGUGGCUUAGGAACUGUUGGAGGCGCUAUUGCAAUAUUUCUUGGAGCGUGGAACUGCGUUUCGAUACUGUUUGGUGGAGUUAGCUGCCUUAUCUCUGGAAUCUGGCAGAUGAUAGCCGGCUUCAUCGUCAUUACCGUGGAGGCUCCCUGUUGUUGUCUAUUCAUUGAUUUUGUGCAACAUUUUAGCGACUGGGUGGAAAAUAAGCCCUAUUGGAACCGAGCAGCGGCCUAUUGCCUGAUUGCGCUUCCAGCCAUCUUCCUGUGCCCUGCAUUGGCCAGUAUAUUUGGUAGUGGUCUGAUAUUUGGUACCGGUGUUAUUUACGGUCUGAUGUCCUUGGGUAAAAAGAGCCCAGUUGCUGUAAGUAAGGAAAUCUGAAACAGCUUUCUUAUCGAACCAAGGAAAUGCCGGAGCAAUUUCGCAGUUUACUCUUGAAAUGUCUGCCUCGACUAAAGACUGUAGCGGGAAGUCAGGAAGCUAGGGUCCAGGCCCGAACCGACAGGAAUGACGCCUCCGGGAGUGGGCUCUCCUCCGGCGGCUGCGCCUCCUGCGGAUCACCAUACGACGCUCAUGGAGGACCCUGAUGUCUGGAGGCCUACAUAAGUCGCCAG
This 849-nucleotide unclassified non-coding RNA is filed under the name Orussus abietinus. Its description in RNAcentral is "calcium channel flower, transcript variant X1". The record is from RNAcentral. Lineage: Eukaryota; Metazoa; Arthropoda; Insecta; Hymenoptera; Orussidae.